AGUGAACGCUGGCGGCAGGCCUAACACAUGCAAGUCGAACGGCAGCACAGCAGUAGCAAUACUGUGGGUGGCGAGUGGCGGACGGGUGAGGAAUACAUCGGGAUCUACCUUUUCGUGGGGGAUAACGUAUGGAAACGUACGCUAAUACCGCAUGCGCCCUACGGGGGAAAGUCGGGGACCGCAAGGCCUGACGCGAUUGGAUGAGCCCAUGUUCGAUUAGCUAGUUGGCGGGGUAAAGGCCCACCAAGGCGACGAUCGAUAGCUGGUCUGAGAGGAUGAUCAGCCACACUGGAACUGAGACACGGUCCAGACUCCUACGGGAGGCAGCAGUAGGGAAUAUUGGACAAUGGGGGCAACCCUGAUCCAGCCAUGCCGCGUGAGUGAAGAAGGCCCUCGGGUUGUAAAGCUCUUUUGUCCGGAAAGAAAAGCAUCUGGUUAAUACCCGGGUGUUCUGACGGUACCGGAAGAAUAAGCACCGGCUAACUUCGUGCCAGCAGCC
RNAcentral lists this ribosomal RNA (499 nucleotides) under uncultured bacterium. Its description in RNAcentral is "bacterial SSU rRNA". It matches the Rfam family "Bacterial small subunit ribosomal RNA", at positions 29 to 516 of the family's 1533-position model. The record is from RNAcentral.